GACGAACGCUGGCGGCGUGCUUAACACAUGCAAGUCGAGCGGUAAGGCCCUUUCGGGGGUACACGAGCGGCGAACGGGUGAGUAACACGUGGGUGACCUGCCCUCAGCUCUGGGAUAAGCCUGGGAAACCGGGUCUAAUACCGGAUAUGACUCCAUGACGCAUGUUGUGGGGUGGAAAGCCUUGUGCGGCUGAGGAUGGGCCCGCGGCCUAUCAGCUUGUUGGUGGGGNGAUGGCCUACCAAGGCGACGACGGGUAGCCGGCCUGAGAGGGCGACCGGCCACACUGGGACUGAGACACGGCCCAGACUCCUACGGGAGGCAGCAGUGGGGAAUCUUGCGCAAUGGGCGAAAGCCUGACGCAGCGACGCCGCGUGAGGGAUGACGGCCUC
Molecule: ribosomal RNA, 389 nt
Filed under: uncultured bacterium
Lineage: Bacteria
Description: bacterial SSU rRNA
Rfam family: Bacterial small subunit ribosomal RNA
Source: RNAcentral